CAUAAUAAAAUAUGAAGGCUGUACGCGGCUGUGCUCUCGGGCCAGUUUUGCGGAGGCUGAAUUAUUUAUUACCCUUGUCUUUUGCGCACUUGUUGUUCCCUGGGCGGGUUCGCCCGCCACCAGGACCACAUCAUUAAACCUUUUUUAUGCAGUUGCAAUCAGCGUCAGUAUAACAAAUGUAAAUCAUUA
RNAcentral lists this unclassified non-coding RNA (189 nucleotides) under uncultured Cochliobolus. RNAcentral's name for it is "sequence contains ITS1". Lineage: Eukaryota; Fungi; Ascomycota; Dothideomycetes; Pleosporales; Pleosporaceae. The record is from RNAcentral.